RNAcentral lists this transfer RNA (73 nucleotides) under Candidatus Shapirobacteria bacterium. RNAcentral describes it as "tRNA-Lys". It matches the Rfam family "tRNA". From Rfam's summary of the family: Transfer RNA (tRNA) molecules are approximately 80 nucleotides in length. Their secondary structure includes four short double-helical elements and three loops (D, anti-codon, and T loops). The record is from RNAcentral. Lineage: Bacteria; Candidatus Shapironibacteriota.
GAGCCCUUAGCUCAGUCGGUAGAGCAGUUGCCUUUUAAGCAAUUGGUCGCGAGUUCGAGUCUCGCAGGGCUCA